RNAcentral lists this ribosomal RNA (154 nucleotides) under uncultured bacterium. RNAcentral describes it as "partial 16S ribosomal RNA". It matches the Rfam family "Bacterial small subunit ribosomal RNA", at positions 355 to 507 of the family's 1533-position model. The record is from RNAcentral.
UGGGGAAUCUUGGGCAAUGGGCGGAAGCCUGACCCAGCCACGCCGCGUGCCGGAGGAAGGCCGAAAGGGUUGUAAACGGCUUUUCUGCGGGACUAAGUGGCGCCGAAGGGUGUCAUUGAAGGUACCGCAGGAAUAAGCACCGGCUAACUACGUG